AAACCUGUAGUGAACCUUUUCCUUGAAAAGGCAUCAGAGAAAUCAGCACAGGUUCAGGAAUUGGCCAAACCCCACCUCAAGACCAUCAAAACUAAAUGGAUCCCUGUUGACAAGGAUCUGUGGGUAACAUUUACAACUCAUGUUGGACCCUAUGUGGAUACAGUAUCUACUAAAACUGUUGAGUUCUAUACGAUAUGCAGAAGUAGCAUUACACCACAUGUUAUCAAAGUGCAGGAAUUUGCCUAUCCUCAUUUACAGAAAGUUUCGGAGUCAGCAAAGCCUCAUAUUGACAAGAUCUCUUCCUUCACAAAACCUCAUGUAGAGAAAGUGCGUGCUGUUUUGAAGCCUUACACAGAGCAUCUAGCCCAUGCUUACGGGGAGUUUCUAAAAUCUGCAACGUUGUAUCAUCAGCAGGCCGAAGCUCUCAUCCAGGAGAAGCUAAAGAAGCAUGAACUAACAAAUUCUCUAGCAACCAAAGAGUUGGUCUGGUUUAUGGCCUCUGCAUUGUUGGCUCUUCCCGUAUUCGUUCUCUACAGAAUCUUUU
RNAcentral lists this unclassified non-coding RNA (544 nucleotides) under Hevea brasiliensis (rubber tree). Lineage: Eukaryota; Viridiplantae; Streptophyta; Magnoliopsida; Malpighiales; Euphorbiaceae. The record is from RNAcentral.